Molecule: ribosomal RNA, 412 nt
Filed under: uncultured soil bacterium
Lineage: Bacteria
Description: bacterial SSU rRNA
Rfam family: Bacterial small subunit ribosomal RNA
Source: RNAcentral
AGAGUGAACGCUGGCGGUAGGCCUAACACAUGCAAGUCGAACGGCAGCACAGUGGUAGCAAUACCAUGGGUGGCGAGUGGCGGACGGGUGAGGAAUACAUCGGAAUCUACCUUUUCGUGGGGGAUAACGUAGGGAAACUUACGCUAAUACCGCAUACGCCCUUCGGGGGAAAGCCGGGGAUCGCAAGACCUGGCGCGGAUAGAUGAGCCGAUGUCGGAUUAGCUAGUUGGUGAGGUAAUGGCUCACCAAGGCGACGAUCCGUAGCUGGUCUGAGAGGAUGAUCAGCCACACUGGAACUGAGACACGGUCCAGACUCCUAGGGAGGCAGCAGGUGGGAAUAUGGACAAUGGGCGCAAGCCUGAUCCAGCCAUACCGCGUGGGUAGAAGAAGGCCGUUCGGUUAGUAAACGUCC